GCUUGUAAGAAGUCCACACUGCAGUCCCAGCUGCAUGGGAGGCUGAGGCAAGGAGCAUGGUUUGGGCUCCUGAGUUCUGGGCUUUAGUGUGGUAUGCCAGUUGGGUGUCCACAUUAAGUUCAGUAUCAUUAUGGUGACCUCCCACGAACAGGUGAGGUUGCCUAAGGAGGGGUGAACCAGCUUAUAUUAGAAAUGGAGCAGGUCAAAACUCCUGUGUUGAGCAGUGGUGGGAUCACAUGUGUGAAUAGUCAGUGCACGCCAGCCUGGGCAACACAGAAAGAUCCCUGUUUCU
This 292-nucleotide signal recognition particle RNA is filed under the name Saimiri boliviensis boliviensis (Bolivian squirrel monkey). RNAcentral's name for it is "Metazoan signal recognition particle RNA (ENSSBOG00000002854.1)". It matches the Rfam family "Metazoan signal recognition particle RNA". From Rfam's summary of the family: The signal recognition particle (SRP) is a universally conserved ribonucleoprotein. It is involved in the co-translational targeting of proteins to membranes. The eukaryotic SRP consists of a 300-nucleotide 7S RNA and six proteins: SRPs 72, 68, 54, 19, 14, and 9. Lineage: Eukaryota; Metazoa; Chordata; Mammalia; Primates; Cebidae. The record is from RNAcentral.